Molecule: long non-coding RNA, 966 nt
Organism: Oncorhynchus tshawytscha (Chinook salmon)
Lineage: Eukaryota; Metazoa; Chordata; Actinopteri; Salmoniformes; Salmonidae
Source: Ensembl
CACACACACACACACACACACACACAAGAAACAAGCAAACUAAUGCAACCAAUGUAACUCAUUACCACACACACACACACAAACUCCAAUGUAAUUCAUUAACACACACACACAUACAGACACAAACUCCAAUGUAACUCAUUACCACACACACACUCCACUUUCUCUUCCUCCUUUACCAUAAAUGUAAAGAAUCAUCAGUGAAAUCCCUCUGAAAGAUUCUCUGUGAGGUCUAGGUUACUGGAGGAGGGUAAAUAGAAACAGCUACAGUGUUGCCAGUAAGACCUCGUGCCUCUGACUUCAGCAGAAAUCCAACCCAGAUGCAUGGCACGCUCCCUGCUCCACUUCUCAGGAAGGAAAAAGGAUCAAGACAGCAGACGAGGUUCAAAUAUACCUGCUGUUUAAUGAGCUUGUGUUGAGAAUCUAAAGGCCCUAUGAUGAUUGGCUGCUACACUCCUAGAUUAUAAAUAUUGUCCUGUCACUGGUAACCCAAGUAUCUCAUAUGGAGUGCUAUUAGUGCCAACAGAAAUUUAACUGAAUUAAAUGUUGAUUAAAGGUAUGUUGUCACUCUAUAGUCCCAGAUAGAUCUAGGUGGGUUAGACGUAGUACAAGAGGUUUUGGUCCAGGUCUACAGUAUAUCUCAAUAGGUUUGGUCCAGGUCUACAGUAUAUCUCAAUGGGUUUGGUCCAGGUCUACAGUAUAUCUCAAUGGGUUUGGUCCAGGUCUACAGUAUAUCUCAAUGGGUUUGGUCCAGGUCUACAGUAUAUAUCAAUGGGUUUGGUCCAGGUCUAUAGUAUAUAUCAAUGGGUUUGGUCCAGGUCUACAGUAUAUCUCAAUGGGUUUGGUCCAGGUCUACAGUAUAUCUCAAUGGGUUUGGUCCAGGUCUAUAGUAUAUCUCAAUGGGUUUGGUCCAGGUCUACAGUAUAUCUCAAUGGGUUUGGUCCAGGUCUACAGUAUAUCUCAAUG